RNAcentral lists this long non-coding RNA (219 nucleotides) under Lathyrus oleraceus (garden pea). Its description in RNAcentral is "Pisum sativum (pea) long non-coding RNA (PSAT_LNC016614)". The record is from RNAcentral. Lineage: Eukaryota; Viridiplantae; Streptophyta; Magnoliopsida; Fabales; Fabaceae.
UAUUUAUGACUUUUUAAAUGUUAAUACUUCAUUUAUCCUUUUUCCAAUCGCAACCAUUACCAAUCCAAUAAAUGAUCUAAAAACCACAAAUGCACUAGAAACGAAUGGACCAGAAAACACCACUUCUCCACAAAACAUAGUUAACCCAAUUUCACAAUAACAUACAUCUCCAUGUCACUCUCAACCUACAUUCACACCUAAACAGACAACAACAACGAC